UACGAAGGGGGCGAGCGUUGUUCGGAUUUACUGGGCGUAAAGGGCGCGUAGGCGGCCCUCCUAGUCGCGUGUGAAAGCCCCGGGCUCAACCUGGGAAUUGCAUUUGUGACUGUACGGCUAGAGUGUGUCAGAGGGGGGUAGAAUUCCACGUGUAGCAGUGAAAUGCGUAGAGAUGUGGAGGAAUACCGAUGGCGAAGGCAGCCCCCUGGGAUAACACUGACGCUCAUGCACGAAAGCGUGGGGAGCAAACAGG
This 253-nucleotide ribosomal RNA is filed under the name uncultured bacterium. RNAcentral's name for it is "partial 16S ribosomal RNA". It matches the Rfam family "Bacterial small subunit ribosomal RNA", at positions 524 to 776 of the family's 1533-position model. The record is from RNAcentral.